AUUGAACGCUGGCGGCAGGCCUAACACAUGCAAGUCGAGCGGCAGCGGAAAGUAGCUUGCUACUUUGCCGGCGAGCGGCGGACGGGUGAGUAAUGUCUGGGAAACUGCCUGAUGGAGGGGGAUAACUACUGGAAACGGUAGCUAAUACCGCAUAACGUCGCAAGACCAAAGAGGGGGACCUUCGGGCCUCUUGCCAUCAGAUGUGCCCAGAUGGGAUUAGCUAGUAGGUGGGGUAAUGGCUCACCUAGGCGACGAUCCCUAGCUGGUCUGAGCGGAUGACCCGGCACACUGGGACGGAGACACGGUCCAGACUCCUAAGGGAGGAAGCAGUGGGGAAUAUUGCACAAUGGGCGAAAGCCUGAUGCAGCCAUGCCGCGUGUAUGAAGAAGGCCUUCGGGUUGUAAAGUACUUUCAGCGGGGAGGAAGGUGUUGAGGUUAAUAACCUUGCUGAUUGACGUUACUCGCAGAAGAAGCACCGGCUAACUCCGUGCCAGCAGCCGCGGUAA
This 506-nucleotide ribosomal RNA is filed under the name uncultured bacterium. Its description in RNAcentral is "partial 16S ribosomal RNA". It matches the Rfam family "Bacterial small subunit ribosomal RNA", at positions 30 to 523 of the family's 1533-position model. The record is from RNAcentral.